ACGGCCCCCUGAGCUAAAAUGAGUUUGACUCCCCUGGCGUAGGAGAUCAAGAAAGAGGAGGAUUUGGGCUCUCGCAGUUUGUGGACAUGAGGAGUGUGAGGGCAAGCAAUUGGAGCCAGAAGUGGUGGAACAUCAACUGCCGCAGACAGAAGACAGAGCCAGUGACAAGCAGCAAAUGUCAGCGAGAAAAAAAGAAGAAGAAAGUGACGGUACCC
Molecule: long non-coding RNA, 215 nt
Organism: Entelurus aequoreus (snake pipefish)
Lineage: Eukaryota; Metazoa; Chordata; Actinopteri; Syngnathiformes; Syngnathidae
Exons: 3
Source: RefSeq, a predicted model, not a curated record